This 71-nucleotide unclassified non-coding RNA is filed under the name Flavobacterium urumqiense. RNAcentral's name for it is "Flavo-1 RNA". The record is from RNAcentral. Lineage: Bacteria; Pseudomonadati; Bacteroidota; Flavobacteriia; Flavobacteriales; Flavobacteriaceae.
CCAUAGCCCCGAUAAAGCCGAUAUCCUUUGAGAGGAACGAACAAAGAUAAAGGCGAAAAGCGGGAACAAUG